RNAcentral lists this small RNA (131 nucleotides) under Salmonella enterica subsp. enterica serovar Typhimurium. RNAcentral describes it as "RtT sRNA". It matches the Rfam family "RtT RNA". From Rfam's summary of the family: This family represents a bacterial cis-regulatory element known as RtT RNA. The exact function of RtT is unknown although it is thought that it may be involved in changing the cellular response in relation to amino acid starvation. The record is from RNAcentral. Lineage: Bacteria; Pseudomonadati; Pseudomonadota; Gammaproteobacteria; Enterobacterales; Enterobacteriaceae.
AUAUCUCGCCGUACGGGAAGGAUGAGAAGCUUCGAUUAAGGUUCGAUUCGAGCGCAGCGUGAAAGCGUUGCCGCAGGCAACGACCCGAAGGGCGAAACCCGCAGCGCUGAGUCAUCCUUCCCCCACCACCA